GUACCUACGGGGGGCAGCAGUGGGGAAUAUUGCACAAUGGGGGAAACCCUGAUGCAGCGACGCCGCGUGAAGGAUGAAGUAUUUCGGUAUGUAAACUUCUAUCAGCAGGGAAGAAAAUGACGGUACCUGACUAAGAAGCCCCGGCUAACUACGUGCCAGCAGCCGAGGUAAUACGUAGGGGGCAAGCGUUAUCCGGAUUUACUGGGUGUAAAGGGAGCGUAGACGGCGUGGCAAGUCUGAUGUGAAAACCCGGGGCUCAACCCCGGGACUGCAUUGGAAACGGUCAGGCUAGAGUGUCGGAGAGG
This 305-nucleotide ribosomal RNA is filed under the name uncultured bacterium. RNAcentral describes it as "bacterial SSU rRNA". It matches the Rfam family "Bacterial small subunit ribosomal RNA", at positions 335 to 657 of the family's 1533-position model. The record is from RNAcentral.